This 709-nucleotide ribosomal RNA is filed under the name Alexandrium tamarense. Its description in RNAcentral is "eukaryotic LSU rRNA". It matches the Rfam family "Eukaryotic large subunit ribosomal RNA", at positions 23 to 671 of the family's 3401-position model. The record is from RNAcentral. Lineage: Eukaryota; Dinophyceae; Gonyaulacales; Pyrocystaceae.
ACCCGCUGAAUUUAAGCAUAUAAGUAAGUGGUGGAAAUUAAACCAACUGGGAUCUCUUUAGUAAUUGCGCAUGAACCAGGAUAUGCUUAGCUUGACAAAUGGAGCUGCUGGCUUUGAAUUGUAUUGUGGAAAYGUAUUGCCAACAGAGGUGCAGGUGCCAGCCAUUUGAAAGAAAGCGUCAAUGAGGGUGAGAAUCCUGUUUGUCAUAUGCAGCCCUCUGUGCACGGUGUAUAUUUGCUGAGUCACACUCCUUGGCAUUGGAAUGCAAAGUGGGUGGUAAGUUUCAUGCAAAGGUAAAUAUGCAAUUGAGACUGAUAGCGCACAAGUACCAUGAGGGACAUAUGAAAAGGACUUUGAAAAGAGAAUUAAACGAGUUUGUAUUUGCUGAACACAAAGUAAACAGAUGUGAUUUCCUUAGUGAGAUUGUAGCACUUGCUUGACAAUAGGUUUUGGCGGUGGGUGCAAUGAUUCUUGCUUUGUAUGCCAGUUUCUAUGUGGACAUUUGAUUACCUGUGCACUUGAAUGGUAAUUUUCCUGCGGGGGGUGGAUUGCAUAUGCAUGUAAUUAUUUGCAUGUUUUAUUACUGUGUCUGGUGUAUGUGUUUGUGUUMUUGUGCUUGUGGUUGCUUUCUUCCUUGGGCUUGCAAGCCCUGGCACACACAUUCUGGCAACAUGCUUCUGCUUGACCCGUCUUGAAACACGGUCCAAGG